This 486-nucleotide ribosomal RNA is filed under the name uncultured bacterium. Its description in RNAcentral is "bacterial SSU rRNA". It matches the Rfam family "Bacterial small subunit ribosomal RNA", at positions 28 to 533 of the family's 1533-position model. The record is from RNAcentral.
GAUGAACGUUGGCGGCGUGCCUAAUACAUGCAAGUCGAACGAAGACUGUAGUAAUACUGUCUUAGUGGCGAACGGGUGAGUAACGCGUGGGUGACCUGCCCCGAAGUGUGGGAUAACAGUCCGAAAGGAUUGCUAAUACUGCAUAAUAUCCAAGAGAUUAGAUGCUUUUGGAUUAAAGGAGUAAUUCGCUUCGGGAGGGGCCCGCGUCCCAUCAGCUAGUUGGUAAGGUAAUGGCUUACCAAGGCGAUGACGGGUAGGGGACCUGAGAGGGUGGCCCCCCACAAUGGAACUGAAACACGGUCCAUACACCUACGGGUGGCAGCAGUAGGGAAUAUUAGUAAUGGGCGAAAGCCUGAACUAGCAACGCCGCGUGUGCGAAGAAGGCCCUUGGGUUGUAAAGCACUUUUUGAGAGGAUGAGGAAGGACGGUACUCUCAGAAUAAGUCUCGGCUAACUACGUGCCAGCAGCCGCGGUAAGUCACGUGUA